This 221-nucleotide unclassified non-coding RNA is filed under the name uncultured Nocardiaceae bacterium. RNAcentral describes it as "contains 16S-23S intergenic spacer region". Lineage: Bacteria; Bacillati; Actinomycetota; Actinomycetes; Mycobacteriales; Nocardiaceae. The record is from RNAcentral.
UCCGAGUUGACCCCGGCAGUCUCCUGCGAGUCCCCGCCAUUACGCGCUGGCAACACGGGACAAGGGUUGCGCUCGUUGCGGGACUUAACCCAACAUCUCACGACACGAGCUGACGACAGCCAUGCACCACCUGUAUACCGACCACAAGGGGGGCCGUAUCUCUACGGCUUUCCGGUAUAUGUCAAACCCAGGUAAGGUGGGGAUGACGUCAGUGCUUGCCU